Molecule: non-coding RNA, 31 nt
Filed under: Homo sapiens (human)
Lineage: Eukaryota; Metazoa; Chordata; Mammalia; Primates; Hominidae
Source: RNAcentral
UGCCUCUCUGGGCCUGCAGGUCUUCUCUCGA